UAAGUGUGCCAGUUUGUGAUGGUUGAGGGGAAAUGUGAGGUUAUAGCAAAGAAUGACAUUCCAAAUUCAAAUCUUCCGGUAGUGGUUGAGCAUGCCUUUUACUGUGAACAUUUAUAUGAUCCUGAUGCUGGAGCUCUUAAGCAGCUACCGACAAAUGUUAAGCUCAUGACCUUGACAAGGAAGGCGCAUGCUGCAAAAAAGAAUGAAGGCAAGUAGAUUUGUGACGAUGAGCAAGCUGGUUCAGACAAACAGAACGCAACACCAGAGAACUGUCUUGCAACCCUUGAUAUUUUUGCUGGCUGUGGAGGUUUGUCUGAAGGGUAGUAGCUAUCUGUACUGGCGCACCAUGUACAAAUUGGGCAAUUGGAUAUGAAGAACCUGCCAGGCAAGCAUUUGGUGAAAAUCAUCCAGAGGCAGUGGCAUUAGUGGAGAACUGCAAUGUGAUUCUAAAGUUGUGGUCAGGGAGGCAAAGCGAAGGGCAACCUCCGGAGUGUCGCGGAAGAGUGGUGUGAGUAGAGGGUGUCGCGGAAGAGUGUCACGCAAAUAAGUGGGUGGGGGAAGGAAGCAGAGCAGGCAAUGCCCCUAUUUAUAUUUGGCGUUGGCAUGUCCAGAUCGAUGGGCCAAAG
This is a long non-coding RNA of Triticum dicoccoides, 626 nucleotides long. RefSeq lists it as uncharacterized. The record is from RefSeq and is a predicted model, not a curated record. The transcript has 4 exons. NCBI's taxonomy places the organism in Eukaryota, Viridiplantae, Streptophyta, Magnoliopsida, Poales, Poaceae.